AUUGAACGCUGGCGGCAUGCCUUACACAUGCAAGUCGAACGGCAGCACGGGAGCGAUCCUGGUGGCGAGUGGUGAACGGGUGAGUAAUGUAUCGGAACGUGCCUAGUUGUGGGGGAUAACGUAGAGAAAUUUACGCUAAUACCGCAUACGAUCUAUGGAUGAAAGCGGGGGAUCGCGAGACCUCGCGCAGUUAGAGCGGCCGAUAUCAGGUUAGGUUGUUGGUGGGGUAAAAGCACACCAAGCCGACGAUCUGUAGCUGGUUUGAGAGAACGACCAGCCAGACUGGGAGUGAGAAACGGCCCAGACUCCUGCGGGAGGCAGCAGUGGGGAAUUUUGGACAAGGGGGGCAACCCUGAUCCAGCAAUGCCGCGUGCAGGAAGAAGGCCUUCGGGUUGUAAACUGCUUUUGUACGGAACGAAACGGUCCUUUCUAAUACAGAGGGCUAAUGACGGUACCGUAAGAAUAAGCACCGGCUAACUACGUGCCAGCCGCCGCAGUAA
RNAcentral lists this ribosomal RNA (500 nucleotides) under uncultured bacterium. RNAcentral's name for it is "partial 16S ribosomal RNA". It matches the Rfam family "Bacterial small subunit ribosomal RNA", at positions 30 to 523 of the family's 1533-position model. The record is from RNAcentral.